AUGGCGGCCGUGACGGUGCGCGAGGUGCUGUACAUGUACAGCGCCGUCCGGAAGGCGUACGAGCGGCUCCUAUCCGUGUGCGGCAGCCCGGAGAAGGCCCAGAACGCGGUGGCGCUGCUGGUGUGGCUGGACCAGGGCACCAUCUCCGCCAUCCACUUCGUCCCAGCCAUCGGCCACGACGCCGUCGCCGUCGUGGUUGAAGAGGCCAACGCCAUCCUCAAGUGCUUCCGCCACCAGGUGCCCGUGCUCCCGCCCAUCCCGCUCAUCUCUGCGCUCUGCAUGCAAGGCGGCGUCCGCAUCGACCCGUGCUUCUUCGCCUUCCACCAGGACCUCGUCGUCCGCGGCGUCGCCCACUUCCUCGACGGUGCCGGCAAGUUCGUUUUCGAUGACCGCCUGCACGUCCUACUCGGUAAGUCCGAGACUGGGCUGGUGGGCAACCCGCCGGAGCUCAUGGCACCCUACACCCAGCCUGUGGCCGUGCCGGAGGACUGCCGUUCCAUGUUCAUCACCUUCUCCAAGGGCAUGCCCCCGCACCGUGAGGAGAUCUUUGAGUACUUUAGAGAGAAGUGGGGUGACUGCGUGGUGAGGGUGCUCAUGGAGAAGACAAAGGGAGGCCUCAUGCCCAUGUACGGCCGGAUCAUCUUCAAGACGGAGGCGAUAGUGAAGCUGGUGCUCAAUGGUGAGAGGCUCGUCAAGAUCUCCAUCGGGCAUCGUCAGAUCUGGCUCCGCAAGUAUGUCCCCAGACCAACCAAGGCCACUGCCUGA
Molecule: ribosomal RNA, 765 nt
Filed under: Triticum aestivum (bread wheat)
Lineage: Eukaryota; Viridiplantae; Streptophyta; Magnoliopsida; Poales; Poaceae
Description: partial small subunit ribosomal RNA
Source: RNAcentral